RNAcentral lists this non-coding RNA (874 nucleotides) under Pan troglodytes (chimpanzee). The record is from RNAcentral. Lineage: Eukaryota; Metazoa; Chordata; Mammalia; Primates; Hominidae.
UCGGAAUAUAACUAACUAACUAACUUCCUUCCUUCCUUCCUUCCUUCCUCCCUCCCUCCCUCCCUGCCUUCCCUUCCUUCCUGCCUUCCUUCUUCCUUCCUCCCUUUUUUCUUUUCUCCCUUCCUUCCUUCUUAAUAUGUUUUUGGCCUUUUCUUUAUAUAUGUGGCCUAGCAAUAUCCUGUGUUUGGAAAAGUAUAAACCUAAGGCAUCACCUUUACAGAAAAUAUCUUCCACGGAAACAUCUAAAGGCAAAAAUCCUUCAAAUUCAAAUUUAUCCAAUCAUUUCUUCUGCUUACUACCAUCCUAAAUCAUUUUUCUUUAGUAAGAUCUAUUAGUGGGAAGCUAUUAAGCUAUUAAUGUAUCAUAUUAAUUGUAUUCAGAUAUUAAGUGAGGAGGUAAAGUUGCAUUCACAGGCCUUGAACUUUUCCACAUCUCGAUUUUUACCCAUCAUCUCUGAAUAGUUCCCUAAGGCAGCCUUCAAAUGGUGAUGUUUCUUAUAAUCCAGAGUUCAGAAGUGGCUUCUCUUCAAUCUUUCUGUGGAAUUCUAAACCAUGUGAUAAAGGAGCUGGUGGCCACAGAUCAGCCCUGGGGUUCAGAGGGAUCCUGACGGCUACUCCUCAAGAUCCUCUCUGUUGUGAUUCAUCCCCCCCGGGCCCUACAGUUUCUCCUUCCUGACUCUUACAUUUCUUUGGAUGGCAUCAUUAUUGCUGGAGUGCAGUGAUGUGAUCUCGGCUCACUGCAACCCCUGCUUCCUGGAUUCAAGCAAUUUUCCUGCCUCACCCUCCCAAGUAGCUGGGAUUACAGUACCUGUCUCCUCCCAUAGUUAGGUGCCAAGCACUGUGGAUUCUGCCCCUCAGUGUCCAGACACCCAUUU